Molecule: long non-coding RNA, 1208 nt
Filed under: Oryzias sinensis (Chinese medaka)
Lineage: Eukaryota; Metazoa; Chordata; Actinopteri; Beloniformes; Adrianichthyidae
Description: lncRNA (ENSOSIG00000022902.1)
Source: RNAcentral
GUCUGAACUAAUCCACUAACCAAUAAAAAUCGAGAAUUCUUGCAUAAAUCUAAAUAUAUUAAAGCCGUCUGGAUUUCCGAGCGCUGAUUGGUUGAGGGGUUUCAGGACAGCCAAUCGUUUAAAUGACAGGCACCCAGCUGUAAGCUAAGUCCCGCCCUCCGCUUCGACAAAUCCCGGAAAUGCUCUCUUAAAGAGACAGACGAGGAAUUUCCAGAGGAGAUUGCAACAACGAAAACAGCUGCGAGCUCACAAAAAAGACGAAAUAAGGCUGGAAAAAAGGAGAAGAGGACGGAGGUGCUGUGUGGCGAAGCGGCCGAGCUCAAACUAACUUUAUUUGAGGACUCUCACGGCUAAUGUGGUCAACGAUUUCUGGCCUUGAGGUCGAUUUUACGCUUCGGGAACGUUAGCUACCUAGAAACCGACAACGUAGCAGUCAACACGGCAGGGCGAUAACAAAAAAAAAAAAAAAAAAAAAAAGAAAGGCACCGGACGGACACACGUCAGUGAUCACCUGGAACUGCGUCCGAGACUCCCUUUCUGAGAGGGGCUCCGGUUGGAAUGACCCAGCCAUGAUGCCACAGCCAUGCCCCACCUGUCGCCCAGGUGUUCCCGGACGGAGAGCCUGGCCAUCCGCCAGUCUUAGAGGGAGUGCCAACAGAAUCGUCAGUCAUCUGGAAUCAGAGAUAUUCCCCCCCCAGAGCCUCUCGCAGUACUGACGCUGCGCCCCUGCUGGUCAGUUGUAUGAGUUUUGACAAAAAUAAUAGAGCAGUGAUUUGUGGGGUCAGAUUAGGAUUAAAAUGUUUAAAUUUUAUUUAAACAUUAUACAAAGUAAAUUUAAAACUUGAAUAAAAAAAUCUGUAAACCUAAAAGUACUAAAUAAUGAAAAAAAGUUGCUGUUUUGUAUUUUCACGUUUUUUCAUUUCAAUUUUUCUCACUUUUCGCUUUUAAUCCUCAAUCGACAGUUCCAAUUCAGAAUUUUUUCUACUGGUGCUGAGCCUAAUUUUACGUGGGGGUCGGGCUUUAAAUCCCAUUGCCUACUGGGACAGCGGUUAUAGUGAUGUCAUUUCCGCUCCUCUGUGUCAUCCCUCCUCUGAGGGAGAGCACUGUUGCUCCUGUACUCCACCUCAGAGGAGGGAUGAUGCAGGCUUCUGCAAAAGUCUGCAAGAACUAGUGUCCAUCAAUAAAUAUUGCUAUUUUAAAAGAAUAAU